CGCGGCCAGAUGUCGAGGAGAAAUCCCUUCCCACUAUGUCCCUAAGUUCCAGCUGUCCCUAAAAGUUCCAGCUCAUCUCGCCUGGCCUCCCCCUGAGUCAGUGGGACUCCCAGCCACUGCCACCACAGCUGAAAUUCUCAUGCAACAUCUUCACAGGCACCUUGGACCCCAAGCAUGACUCAUCCAGGUUCCAGAGCCAAAGUGGACUGAACAUGGAAAGACUUUUAUUAUAGAAAUGACAAGAUGCUUUGCACGGUGGAGAGCUGAAUUUACUUGGCUCCCAUUAGAAACUCUUUCAGCUUAAGUACUUAUUGUGGUAGUGAGUCCUACAGUAUUUCAGUAAAAAG
This 347-nucleotide small RNA is filed under the name Pongo abelii (Sumatran orangutan). RNAcentral's name for it is "retained intron". The record is from RNAcentral. Lineage: Eukaryota; Metazoa; Chordata; Mammalia; Primates; Hominidae.